This 492-nucleotide ribosomal RNA is filed under the name uncultured bacterium. RNAcentral's name for it is "partial 16S ribosomal RNA". It matches the Rfam family "Bacterial small subunit ribosomal RNA", at positions 29 to 507 of the family's 1533-position model. The record is from RNAcentral.
AGUGAACGCUGGCGGUAGGCCUAACACAUGCAAGUCGAACGGCAGCACAGUAAGGGCUUGCUCUUACGGGUGGCGAGUGGCGGACGGGUGAGGAAUACAUCGGAAUCUACUUUUUCGUGGGGGAUAACGUAGGGAAACUUACGCUAAUACCGCAUACGACCUACGGGUGAAAGCAGGGGAUCUUCGGACCUUGCGCGAUUGAAUGAGCCGAUGUCGGAUUAGCUAGUUGGCGGGGUAAAGGCCCACCAAGGCGACGAUCCGUAGCUGGUCUGAGAGGAUGAUCAGCCACACUGGAACUGAGACACGGUCCAGACUCCUACGGGAGGCAGCAGUGGGGAAUAUUGGACAAUGGGCGCAAGCCUGAUCCAGCCAUACCGCGUGGGUGAAGAAGGCCUUCGGGUUGUAAAGCCCUUUUGUUGGGAAAGAAAAGCAGCAGGUUAAUACCCCACUGUUCUGACGGUACCCAAAGAAUAAGCACCGGCUAACUUCGUG